RNAcentral lists this transfer RNA (68 nucleotides) under Vibrio cholerae. RNAcentral's name for it is "tRNA-Gln". It matches the Rfam family "tRNA". Rfam says of the family: Transfer RNA (tRNA) molecules are approximately 80 nucleotides in length. Their secondary structure includes four short double-helical elements and three loops (D, anti-codon, and T loops). The record is from RNAcentral. Lineage: Bacteria; Pseudomonadati; Pseudomonadota; Gammaproteobacteria; Vibrionales; Vibrionaceae. RNAcentral also lists the same sequence under 1 other name.
UCGCCAAGCGGUAAGGCAACGGGUUUUGAUCCCGUCAUCCCAUGGUUCGAAUCCAUGUAGACCUGCCA